GCCCCCUGCAGGACGAAGAAAGAGUUAAAGGUCAGUUUAUUUUUGGAAUAAAUGUGGCUGUUACACCACUUAACACAUGUUUAUAUAAACAUGUUGCUUAUAUCCAGAUCUCAGGGAGGUGGUUAGGAAUGUCAAGAAACAUGUAAUGGCUGGGGACAUAGUUCAGUUGGUAGUGUUUGUCUAGUAAGCACAAAGUCUUAUUAUUGGUUCUCCGCAUGGUUAGGCAUGGUGGGACAUGCCAGUAAUCCCAGUAUUCAGAACGCAGAUGCAGAAGAUCAGGAGUUCAAAGUCAUCACUGAUCAUGCACAGAAUUCAAGGCCAGCCUGGGCAACAUAAGACCCCGUGUCAAAACAAAUAGCCACAAGAAAGCAUCUAGAGAACGGAGUCUGGGAUGAUUGUCACCUGUGACAGGACACCUUUAACUGAUCUGUCAACGGUAUGUGCCAAGGGUACACCACUAAACAGAGAAGAGGCAGCUUAAAAGAUAGCCCGGGGGUUGGGGAUUUAGCUCAGUGGUAGAGCGCUUGCCUAGCAAGCGCAAGGCCCUGGGUUCGGUCCCCAGCUCCGAAAAAAAGAAAAGAAAAGAAAAGAAAAAAAGAUAGCCCGGGUUUGUUUUUCAUUUUAGCAUUACUGUAUAGAGCCAUGUAGCAGAGAAACAGUAGAAAGUUGUGCAUGAGACAGUUGGGUCUCACAAUCCAGUGUGCAGAUGGAUUCGUGAGGCCAUUGGGUCAGGAUAGGGACUGGGAUGGUGUUAUAGACAGAAACAUGUCUCCUUAAAUUCAAAUGUUGACACCUUAACCCUCCAUGUGACUGUAAAGAGGUCAUAGGUAAGGUUUGUAUGUAAUAGGGAUGAAGGAAAUCCUACUGCGAAAAGGAAGAGGUAAUCAGGAAGGUAUAUAGAGUCCAGUGUAGUAACUCCCCUGUAAUUCCAGCACUUAGGAAGCUGAGGCAGGAGGACUGUGGAAAGCUUGAGGCUAGCAUUGGCUAUACAGUGAGUGUCAGUCCAGUCCGUGUUCACAGUGAGACACUAUCUCAAAUACCAAGACUUAUUUCCCACUUGGUGUAAGACAGUUCUCGUUCUCUUCCUCAAGAAUAAAUGUAGGGAAAAUACAAAUGGAUUCUGCUCUCCGUGGAGAUGCAGAAGGGGAGCGCAGGGUCAGGGACAAAUGGUAAGUCCCUUUGUGACCAUGGGAAAUCUUCUACUAAUCACCAUGGCAUGCUGGGUAGGAAAGCUUGUUGGGUGUUUCUAGAACAUCUGUGCUUUCUAGAGAGGCUAAACAUUGGCCAGGAGUAGGAUAGUGGGAGACUUAAGAAAAAAAAAAUCCAGAUAUUUAAGUAAAAGUUUUAUGAGUUUUGUAUGUGGACUACAUUUUUGUUGUCUCAACCCAGUGCAGGUCAAACAAAACAUUUUUUUCCCUUUCAUCUUAAGCUUCCUGCCCCACUUCUGGGUUGAAACUAUCUUGGAAAAUCUGUGUACUGUUUCAAUAGCUCAUUAACUAUUACCACUGGGAUCCAUCAAGAGGUACUUUGGCUAUUUCUUACAGCUUUCUGGCAAAGCAAAAAACUUAGUAUUUUUUAUUUGAUCAUAAUAUUAUAUGUUUUUUUCCUAACACAGAAUUGAUCCUAAAAAUAUGAAGUUUAUUUUAAACCAGACUCACUGAGUUUGAAAGGUUUGUUGGCAUCAAGAACUGGCUUUACAGUCAGGAACCGCCUCCGAAUCCAGCGAUGACAGUGACGUCACCCGUACGCAACUGGGACCCGCAUGCAUCUGUUGCCAUGGCAAUCGCCAUACAUUCCCAGAGUUCCAGAGUCCACCUGGCCCACUCCUCACCUCUACCUGCGAGCGGUUACAUCACAGCCUAAAUAAAAGGCACCCUUCUUGACCUUUGCCCCCCUUUCUCUCUUUUCUCCCUUGUCUCCGACACUCCCUCUGUUCCCUUCCCCCACAAUAAACCUCUCUCACGUGGAACUGCAUUGGCCUGGCGUGGUCUGUCUGCAAUUCUAACACAACAGGGUUUGCUUUAGUUUGUGUUUUAAAGGCCCCUAAAGUUCUAUGUGUGAGAGGCUUCAUCUCUCCCUGUUUGUGUCUCUCUCGGGGAUAAAGUAGAAGGGCCAAGGCUUAAUGGAAGUUAGGUCACUGGACACAUGUCCUUGCAAGGGAGAUGGGGCCGAAGCCCUGUGUCUCUGUUUCCAUGAGUAAACUUUCUUCCUUUAGGACAUGUUUCCACUGCUGUGAAUACCGUGUCAUCACUGGUCCCAAACACAGGGCCAUGUGACUGGACCUCUGAAACAGGAGCUCAAACAUAGCUCUUCUUUUUAAGUUGGUUUUGGGUAUUUUCUUGUGAGGGGAAGAUGACCAACACCACGGAAGACUUCUGCAGUUUCCCUUUGUUAAAUUCUUCCUGAUUUCCCUGGGGCGGACAGUGGGUGUGGCAUAGACAAGGGAAGUGGGUGGGCGAACCCUGUGUGGGGAUAGCGGGUUUCUGUCCACACAAUUACCAUUGCUAUCCUUUAUUGUAAAAGGAAUCUGAGCUUUUCAAGCUGUGAAGACUUGUCACUAGAGAGAAUAAAAUACAUUUUUGGGAGAAAGACUCAGAAAUAAAUGGGGAGGCCAAGUCUGGCUUCUAGUAUGAACACA
Rattus norvegicus (Norway rat) is the source of this 2638-nucleotide non-coding RNA. NCBI's taxonomy places the organism in Eukaryota, Metazoa, Chordata, Mammalia, Rodentia, Muridae. The record is from RefSeq and is a predicted model, not a curated record.